Oryctolagus cuniculus (rabbit) is the source of this 2699-nucleotide non-coding RNA. The record is from RefSeq and is a predicted model, not a curated record. NCBI's taxonomy places the organism in Eukaryota, Metazoa, Chordata, Mammalia, Lagomorpha, Leporidae.
CCUGCUACACCACAGCGCCGGCCUCCCAAGCUCAUUUCAUCCUAGCAGCUGUUUGCUGAGUACCACGGGCAAGCCCCGGGCCUGCCUGCCAAGUGUGCAGACAAAAUGAGGCCUUCCCAGCCUUCCAGCAAAGCGGGCGUGCAGCCCUGCUGCCAGGUGACGCGGGGCGGCAUCUGUCAGUCCUGCGAGGGUGACAGUAACACAGAGAAGAGUAAGACACAAGCACAGGGUCUGCUGUCCUCAACUGAUUCUGAAAGGAAAGCCCAGCCAAGCUAAGGUCAUCCAGAGUCUCCUGCGCACGCCGGGCUGUGCUGAGCACGCCUUGGUGCUCCCUGAUCCACAGCCUCCUCACGUCUCCCCGGCAGAGUGGACAGAGCCGCGAGGCCCCAUCAACUCCUCCAGACACCUGCUCACGUGAGCACCAGGGAGAGGUGAGCUGGUGGUGCUGAGGUUUGGAGAAGCAGGGACAGUGAGGGCUGGGAGAUGAGGAAGACGCGGGCGGGGUGGGCCAUUUGUGGAGACGAGCGUGAGGCGCUGGGUGAGGCAGAGCUGCUGAGCUGUGCACGGCCUCCGCUUUCCCCCCCAGCGUCUGCCAGCGUUGCCUGGAGCCCAGGUGAAGUGAGUCCGUCAGCCAGCACUUGCACCUGAAGCGCGAGCCCAACGGCCAUCCAGAAACCUGGUGCAGCCGGGAGGAGGAAGAUGGGGUUUGGGGCCGCAGACGGAGACUGGCUCCACCACGCACCUGCUUCGUGGCAGCUUAGCAGGUGGAGUGCUUCAGCGUCACCAGAUGGCGAAAGUGAGCAAGGAGCCUGGGACCCUGACCUGAUAAUGAGAUUUCCAUUCGUGUGUGGUUGAUGGAAGACCCGCGCAAACGUCCUCUAAAUAACCUGUGCGUCUCGGCCAGUGAGGACUGGGUCUGGGGAUGGCUGUAGGGGACGCUGCCUGCCCGGGGUGACAGCAGUCCCCGGAGAGUGGAGGAGGCGCCCGGGUCAUUAAUCAGGGCUACGUCCUCUGCGAGAAUCAUCUGUGGCUCAGGGACACCUUGCACAGGGGCUGCUCUUUGUUUAAAGAAGCGGGCUGAGCUCCCGCAGAGCCGUGUGCAGGGUGCAGAUGUGCUGUGGAAAUCGUCUUUAACGACCCGUCUAUGGGGCGCAGUCUGAAUUCGCACCUUGGUGUCACCGUAAAUCUGUCCACACUGCUGCAGAGAAACGGAGCAUGGCCUUCCAGGGCAAAGCCUGGGCCCAUUUGUGCAUGGCUUUGACAGGCUGUCAAGGGAAAUUCUUUACCCUGGGCAAAAGGGAGUGGCUGUGGUGUGGUUUAUAGCCACACCAAGUAAUUUUAGUAGAACGAGUGACUCGCUGUUUCACGGUGUCUGAGUGUUACAGGGGACCUCUGGUGUCUCUUGGGCCUCAGAUAAAGAGGAAUCCACGUGAAUUAAUUCGAGACUAUUUCGCUCUAGGAUCAAAUUUUAAGUUUUUCUAACAACAGCAACAACAAAAGACCCAGGACCCCAGGAUGAACGCAGGAAGUUCCUCUGACACAUCAUUUAAUCACUCUAAAAGCAUUCUGUUAGCUUCAAAAAUGCCAGCCCUGAAACGAGGCCCUGAGCCAGUGCUUGCAGUCUGUGCAGCCGGCGGCCACAGGCCCGUCAUUAUCAACAUCAGAGCCGCCCUUCUGAGCAGCUCAUUACCUCAAAGCACUCUGCCGUCAUUAACCGUCCACGUCUGUGGACACCCCAGAGGCAGGCAGUAUCAUUAGCUGCGUUCGGGGGCCCCGGAGACGCCGGAGCCGCUUGCCCGUCCUUGCUGCAUAGCUCCUUCUCCAGGCGCGGCCAUUUGCUCUGAACCUCACAGUGAUCCCACCCGGGGACGCGCGCCAGGCUGGUUAUUCUGAGGAUUCGUCCUGGGGGGCCUGGGGAGGAGGAUGUGUGGGUCCCGUUGCAUAGAUGCAGACACAAGAGGCACGGAGAAGGGCCAGCUCGUGUCACUUGCACGCUGGUCCCCAGGCUGUGGGGCUGUUGGUGCUGCUGUCCACGGUGAGGCCAGGAGGUCUGGUCAGUGGGCAGAGGCUCCCUGCCUUCCAGCCCGCGCAAGCCUGCUCUACCUCACUAAGGAGCCUGCAAAGUGGACUGCAGCCUCCUGUUACACAGUGCGGCAGAAUUCGCUCACCGGCUCCAGGCCUGACGGCAUCCACACUGUGAGACGCCCUUUGCUCCACCUGGUCAAGUGUGACAGGAGCCUCUCCUCUGGUUGGGCUGUCCUGGGGUGGCCAGGUCUUGGUGUGGACCCAGCGUCUGUAUCUCCAGGUCUUGUUUCUGAUCUUUGCUUUGUGACGAUUCCAGUUUCUCUGGUCUGCAUGAAAGUGACACAAUAAAUAGAACAAAUAAUCUGCAAACAGGUGCUUAUGGAGCCGCCACUCCACGCAAGACGUUCUACUAGGGAGGUGGCCCCGGGCCUCAUGGGCUCAUUUGAGAAGGGAGCCCAGACCCUCAGAGACAGCCACUGGGGCCCAGCAGUCACCACGGAGGGGCCCCGAGGGGCAGCAGGGCAAUGCAGAAGCAUACGAGAGAGCAGGUAGUCAUGCCUGGGUCUGGGCAGGAGAGAGAGCCGGGCUCCGCACUCCACCAGGGAGCCGUCACCCUCUGUCCCUGUGUCCUGCUCACACACACCACGGCCGGAGUCGCUGGGUGAGGCUGGGGC